RNAcentral lists this ribosomal RNA (490 nucleotides) under uncultured bacterium. RNAcentral describes it as "partial 16S ribosomal RNA". It matches the Rfam family "Bacterial small subunit ribosomal RNA", at positions 30 to 507 of the family's 1533-position model. The record is from RNAcentral.
AUUGAACGCUGGCGGCAUGCCUAACACAUGCAAGUCGAACGGUAACAGGAAGCUUCUUGCUUCUUUGCUGGCGAGUGGCGGACGGGUGAGGAAUGUCUGGGGAACUGCCCGAUGGGGUGGGAUAGCUACUGGAAACGGUAUCUAAUACCUCAUAACGUCUCAAGACCAAAGAGGGGGACCUUAUGUCCUCUUGCCAUCGGAUGUGCCCAGAUGGGAUUGGCUAGGAGGUGGGGUAACGGCUCACCUAGGCGACGAUCCCGAGCUGGUGUGAGCGGAUGACCAGCCACCCUGGAACUGAGACACGGUCCAGACUCCUACGGGAGGCCGCAGUGGGGAAUAUUGCACAAUGGGCGCGAGCAUGAUGCAGUCAUGCCGCGUGUAUGACGACGGCCUUCGGGUUGUAAAGUCCUUCCACCGGGGAGGAAGGGCGUACAGUUAAUACCUUUGCUCAUUGACGUUACCCGCAGAAGAAGCACCGGCUAACUCCGUG